Molecule: long non-coding RNA, 384 nt
Organism: Lineus longissimus
Lineage: Eukaryota; Metazoa; Nemertea; Pilidiophora; Heteronemertea; Lineidae
Exons: 2
Source: RefSeq, a predicted model, not a curated record
UUUAGUGAGCACCCCCAAGAAGAGCAUUUUAAAUUUCGCGCGAGUUAUCCCACGUCCAAUCACACAUGCAGCGAACGUCACGUCUCGAGUCUGCGCAGUUCAGACGUAAGGAGACCAUGCUAUGGAAUAGAUCGCGUUCUGUCAAUUCAGAGGACAGGAAUGAUCUGCAGCUGCAUUUGAACAUAUUUGGUGACUACAUCUCAAAGAUGACCAAGAGAGAGGAUCGAGCUAUGACUUUGCACAUCCCAUCGACUUCGGUGUUCACCAGUGCAAUCAUCAGAAGAGCCAGGCAAUUCUAGUAUUCAAGUAUUUCAUUCUGUAAUACUUACCUCAAAAUUUACUAAAUAAAGAAAACCGCAUGUGGCAGUUGGUUAAAAAAAUCAA